GAAGCUUGCUUCUGCCUGGCGUCUGUGAGCAGCUGCCAGGCUCUGGCCAGGAUCCCUUCCUUCUCCUCACUGGCUGAUGGAUCCCAAGGGGCUCCUCUCCUUGACCUUCAUGCUAUUUCUCUCCCUGGCUUUUGGGGCAAGCUACGGAACAGGUGGGCGCAUGAUGAACUGCCCAAAGAUUCUCCGGCAGUUGGGAAGCAAAGUGCUGCUGCCCCUGACAUAUGAAAGGAUAAAUAAGAGCAUGAACAAAAGCAUCCACAUUGUCGUCACAAUGGCAAAAUCACUGGAGAACAGUGUCGAGAACAAAAUAGUGUCUCUUGAUCCAUCCGAAGCAGGCCCUCCACGUUAUCUAGGAGAUCGCUACAAGUUUUAUCUGGAGAAUCUCACCCUGGGGAUACGGGAAAGCAGGAAGGAGGAUGAGGGAUGGUACCUUAUGACCCUGGAGAAAAAUGUUUCAGUUCAGCGCUUUUGCCUGCAGUUGAGGCUUUAUGGUAAUAAUGGCGGCUUCCCCAGGCCACGCUAAAGGGCCAAGGUGCUCCUUUGACCAAGAAUUUAGGUCUCUCUUAAAAGCAAAGGGUAUUCAGAAUUGGAAGUAACUAGAAUGAUCUUCUAGUUUGGGGGUAUUUAAACCUGCUGCAUGGAAGACGUUUUAAAGGUUGACUUUUUUUUU
This 670-nucleotide small RNA is filed under the name Pan troglodytes (chimpanzee). RNAcentral describes it as "retained intron". The record is from RNAcentral. Lineage: Eukaryota; Metazoa; Chordata; Mammalia; Primates; Hominidae.